AGUAAGUUAGUUCAAUAUAGAAUAAUUCACUCUUAAUGAAUAGAUGAUAUAUAAUAAUAUCACUUGCUA
RNAcentral lists this transfer RNA (69 nucleotides) under Spizellomyces sp. 'palustris'. Its description in RNAcentral is "tRNA-Lys". It matches the Rfam family "tRNA". Rfam says of the family: Transfer RNA (tRNA) molecules are approximately 80 nucleotides in length. Lineage: Eukaryota; Fungi; Chytridiomycota; Chytridiomycetes; Spizellomycetales; Spizellomycetaceae. The record is from RNAcentral.